GUGGGGCUGCUCGCCCAUUAAAGGGGAACGUGAGAUGGGUUUAGACCGUCGCGAGACAGGUCGGACUCUACCUGUCGGGGGUGCUGGCCGCCUGAGGGGAAGGUCCGCUCAGUACGAGAGGAACGGCGGGCCGCGGCCUCUAGUCUACCGGCCGUCCGGCAGGGCGCGCCGGGCAGCCACGCCGCAUGGGGAUAACCGCUGAAGGCAUCUAAGCGGGAAGCCCUCCCCGAGACGAGGCGGCCGCUCUCGGCCGU
This 254-nucleotide ribosomal RNA is filed under the name Thermofilum sp. RNAcentral describes it as "partial 23S ribosomal RNA". It matches the Rfam family "Archaeal large subunit ribosomal RNA", at positions 2640 to 2893 of the family's 2987-position model. Lineage: Archaea; Thermoproteati; Thermoproteota; Thermoprotei; Thermofilales; Thermofilaceae. The record is from RNAcentral.